RNAcentral lists this small RNA (1036 nucleotides) under Caenorhabditis elegans. Its description in RNAcentral is "Unclassified non-coding RNA M04D5.7". Lineage: Eukaryota; Metazoa; Nematoda; Chromadorea; Rhabditida; Rhabditidae. The record is from RNAcentral.
GAGAAGUAUUCAAAGCCCGAUGCAAGAAUACAGGCCGAAUGGUUGCUCUAAAGAAGAUUUUAAUGGAAAAUGAGAAGGAAGGAUUCCCAAUUACAGCACUACGUGAAGUUAAAAUGCUCGAACAGCUUAAACAUCCAAAUAUCACUGAUCUUAUCGAAGUUUGCAGUGCGAAAAGUGCGUUUUUCGCACGAAAAACGGCAGAAAACCGACCCAAAAAUGUGAAAAAUCAAAAAAUUCACGAAAUCUCACGAUUUUGGCCGGAAAAAACGCCCAAAAAACUGGAAUUUCAUGGAUUUUUGCCUGAAAAAUGCAAAUUUUUAGCCCCAAAAAAUGGGCUGAAAAUCGAUUUUUCGGCAGUUUUCCGACGGAAAAAUGCUCAUUUUGAGUGAUUUUUCAUUGAAAUUCACUGAAUUUCUCCUGAAAAUCCGGUUUUUCAAGCGAUUUUAAGGCAUUUUCCACUGAAAUUUCAUUAAAAACCAGGGGUUUCCACCUAUUUUUACUCAUUUUAGACCAAUUUUAGGGUAAUUUUCACUACAAUUUCCGAAAUUUUCACCGAAAAAUCGAUAUUUUCAGGUGAAAACCACCUUUUUGAACACUAUUUUCUACUGAAAAUCUCUGUUUUUUCACUAAAAAAUCCAUAUUUUCUCGAUUUUCGCCCGAAAAAACUGAUUUUUCACCCAAUUUUACUCAUUUUAGACUUAUUUUAGGGUGAUUUUCACUGAAAUUUCCCAAUUUUUCCCCAAAAAUCCAAAAAAUUCAGGUACUGGAACGACGGGAUCCAAGGAUCGUGCAACUUUCUACUUGGUAAUGGCUCUUUGUGCACACGAUUUGGCUGGUCUCUUAUCAAAUCCGAAAAUUCGAAUGUCUCUUGUUCAUAUUAAAACAAUGAUGAAACAUUUGAUGUCUGGAUUGAAUAAGCUUCAUCGUAGUAAAAUUCUUCAUCGUGAUAUGAAAGCUGCAAAUGUUCUCAUUUCGAAGGAUGGAAUACUCAAACUUGCCGAUUUUGGACUAGCUCGGCCUUUUGUGCAGAGAGAAA